Aethalodelphis obliquidens (Pacific white-sided dolphin) is the source of this 292-nucleotide long non-coding RNA. RefSeq lists it as uncharacterized. NCBI's taxonomy places the organism in Eukaryota, Metazoa, Chordata, Mammalia, Artiodactyla, Delphinidae. The transcript has 2 exons. The record is from RefSeq and is a predicted model, not a curated record.
UAUCCAAAUCAAGCGUUGAAAAUCAUUUGCACCAGCUUAGUUAUGUGAAUUGCUUUGAUGUUUGGGUUCCACAUAAGUUAGGCAAAAAAAACCUUCUUAACCAUAUUUCCUCAUGCGAUUCCCUACUGAAACGUAAUGAAAAUGUUCUGUUUUUAAAACAAAUGUGAUGGGAGAUGAAAAGUGGAUACUGCACAAUAGUACGGAACGGAAGAGAUCAUGGGCCAAGUGAAAUGAACCGCCACCAACCACACCUAAGGCUGGUCUUCAUCCAAAGAAGGUGAUGUUGUGUAUA